RNAcentral lists this ribosomal RNA (607 nucleotides) under Hypoxylon perforatum. RNAcentral describes it as "eukaryotic LSU rRNA". The stretch from base 245 to 398 matches the Rfam family "5.8S ribosomal RNA". Lineage: Eukaryota; Fungi; Ascomycota; Sordariomycetes; Xylariales; Hypoxylaceae. The record is from RNAcentral.
GCCUGCGGAGGGAUCAUUACUGAGUUCUACAAAACUCCCAACCCUUUGUGAAUUAUACCUUAGUUGCCUCGGCGUCGAGCGAGUCAACCUACCCGGGAGCUACCCUGGAGUCACCUACCCUGUAGGACCUACCCUGUAGAUGGCUACCCUGGAGCUACCCUGUAGUUGCACUUCCGCGUCGCCGGUGGACUACCAAACUCUUAUAUGUAUAGUGUAUCUCUGAAUUCGUAACAAAAUUAGUUAAAACUUUCAACAACGGAUCUCUUGGUUCUGGCAUCGAUGAAGAACGCAGCGAAAUGCGAUAAGUAAUGUGAAUUGCAGAAUUCAGUGAAUCAUCGAAUCUUUGAACGCAUAUUGCGCCCAGUAGUAUUCUACUGGGCAUGCCUAUUCGAGCGUCAUUUCAACCCUUACGCCCUGUAGCGUAGUGUUAGGACUCUACUCUCUAGAGGGUAGUUCCCCAAAACCAGUGGCAGUGUUCGGUACACUCAUAGCGUAGUAAUUCUUCUCGCUUCUGCAGUGGCCCGUACGAUUCGCCGUAAAACCCCCAAUUUUCUAAUGGUUGACCUCGGAUUAGGUAGGAAUACCCGCUGAACUUAAGCAUAUCAAA